AGCGCAGGCGGGCUUGUAAGUCAGUGGUGAAAUACUGCCGCUUAACGGUAGAACUGCCAUUGAUACUGCGAGUCUUGAAUAUGGUUGAGGUAGGCGGAAUGUGUUGUGUAGCGGUGAAAUGCAUAGAUAUGACACAGAACGCCAAUUGCGAAGGCAGCUUACUAAGCCAUUAUUGACGCUGAGGCACGAAAGCGUGGGGAGCGAACAGGAUUAGAUACCCUGGUAGUCC
This 229-nucleotide ribosomal RNA is filed under the name uncultured bacterium. Its description in RNAcentral is "partial 16S ribosomal RNA". It matches the Rfam family "Bacterial small subunit ribosomal RNA", at positions 568 to 796 of the family's 1533-position model. The record is from RNAcentral.